This 433-nucleotide ribosomal RNA is filed under the name uncultured bacterium. Its description in RNAcentral is "partial 16S ribosomal RNA". It matches the Rfam family "Bacterial small subunit ribosomal RNA", at positions 29 to 507 of the family's 1533-position model. The record is from RNAcentral.
AACGAACGCUGGCGGCAUGCCUAACACAUGCAAGUCGAACGAGACCUUCGGGUCUAGUGGCGCACGGGUGCGUAACGCGUGGGAACCUGCCCUUAGGUUCGGAAUAACUCCCCGAAAGGGGUGCUAAUACCGGAUAAUGUCUUCGGACCAAAGAUUUAUCGCCUUUGGAUGGGCCCGCGUUGGAUUAGCUAGUUGGUAGGGUAAAAGCCUACCAAGGCGACGAUCCAUAGCUGGUCUGAGAGGAUGAUCAGCCACACUGGGACUGAGACACGGCCCAGACUCCUACGGGAGGCAGCAGUGGGGAAUAUUGGACAAUGGGCGAAAGCCUGAUCCAGCAAUGCCGCGUGAGUGAUGAAGGCCUUAGGGUUGUAAAGCUCUUUUAACCGGGAUGAUAAUGACAGUACCGUGAGAAUAAGCGCCGGCUAACUCCGUG